Etheostoma cragini (Arkansas darter) is the source of this 1970-nucleotide long non-coding RNA. RefSeq lists it as uncharacterized. The transcript has 2 exons. The record is from RefSeq and is a predicted model, not a curated record. NCBI's taxonomy places the organism in Eukaryota, Metazoa, Chordata, Actinopteri, Perciformes, Percidae.
UGUGAUACAAACCGAAUGCUGGGUUUCUACUAUUGUAUCAUUAUAUUAUUUUAUCUUGUUGAAAGAACAUGGUAUAUUAUAUCUGAUAUACCACGUUCUUUCAUAAGCUUUAGAGGUGCUGGUAGGCUAAAUGUGUACUCUUUGGACAAAGCUAGGCUACCACCUAGCUUUUUCCACCUCUGAACUGUCUUUAUGCUAAGUUUGCCAUCUGCUGGUAGUACUUGUAGCUACAUAUGUACAUUAUUCAUGUGUCAAUCGUCUUGUCAAAUUCUCAGCAACAAAGCUAAGUGUAUUUGCCAAAAUGUUGAACUUGUCUUGGAUCAGAUUAGUGGAGAUGUUAAUAGUUAAAACUGGGCAGAAAAAAACAGCCCAUUUCUUCUGAGACAGCUGAGCAGGGAGAAAUGCAGUGAGAUGUUCACAGCUGCUAUAGACCUGACCUCCACUACGGCUGCUAGAAUUUGUGUAAAGCCAGCUGAAAUCCCUCAACGAGUGCAGCUGGGUCGGAGUGGAGUUAGUUCUGUGGUUAGGUCUGCGACCGCUUUAGAGUCGGGAGUCAAGGUAAGGUGAUGAAAAGUGUUGGACAAUGUUGGGGGAAUGUUAAUUUUAGGUGGCAGUAAGGGGUAGAUGAGGUAAAAAGAAAUAGAUUGGGCACUUUUAAAGUGAUGCUACAUUGUUUUCACCUCUGCAUGAUUUAUUCAUAUACCUGUAAUGUCUUGCCAGUGCGCUGCACUGUGCAGGUCACACGCUGCAUCCUGCAACCACUGCUGGUAUAGAUUGCUUUGAUUGUCUUUGUAUUUGUCUAUUAAAGCCUGAGAAUGUUGAAAUAAUGAAAAAUCCAAAAGAAGGCUUAAUAACAUAAGGAAAUCACCACCACAAGCAGAAUCUUACUAUUUUUUUUUGGGGGGGGGGGGGAUUUCACACCUUUUUUUUUUUUUUUAAAAGCCUUGUCCUAUUUAUGUCCUGUGUAAAUAUAGAAGGUUCAAAGUAUGUGCUCCGAUCAAGGAAAUGUGUCUCAGAUGACAUCUUUGGGCUCCAUCUUAUAGUACACGUAUGUUCUUUAAAGUCAAGGUCUUGGAUGCAACCUUCAAACACUUCUUUUUUUUUUUUCUAAUUUAAAUGUAAUUUUUACACUGAGAUAUUGACGGUUUCUUCUUUGCAGUUUUCUAAAUGCAACCACUCAACGGUGUGGUUUGAUAAUUGUACAACCUCCAACUCUCCCUUCCUUCCUACAUUCCUUGCUUGAGUCGUACUGUAUGUUUGUUACCAGCGUCAGUUCAUCCGCUAUGUUUCUGAAGAUCAUCUUUGUACUCCAAAAACAUUUUUAAUAAUUUACCGCUGUUUGUGUGAGACGUGAUGUUGGACACAGACAGUUAAUUUCACACGUUCUAUAACACUGGUUCUCCCUAACAUGAGAAAUCUUUAGUGGAAAGUGCCUGUCAGGGUAUCUGUACCCACGCCAAGAAAAUCACCUAAUGAAUUAUCUUGAAGGAAAAAAUUUACACUGAAAGACAUUUUGAAAUAAUCGCAUCAGUGUUUCAGAAAAUUCUCUUGUGGAUUUCUUUUAAGAUUGAAGAAGUUUGAAAGUACAGUGCCGCCAAACAAAUGCAAAAUUGGUUCAAAAUCAUCUUGCUGUGUCUUUGAUCAUGCCCUUCAGUCUGCAAUGUUAUUUAAAAUAUUAUGCCUGUCUGUUCAGCUUAUGCCCGAGCUUUUUGGGGGGCCUUUUUGAUGUAGUGUGGCAUUAUUCUGUUUAUAUUUACUGGAAUUAAAAGCUUUUAAACUCCAUUGGCAAUGUUUUCUUACAUGACUAUUCAGAUAUUUCUCUUUUUCACUGUAUGCAUUGGUAUCAGUCUAUUUUCAUGUUGGUGUUUGUAUAAAUGCUGUAUGUCCAUGUCUUGUAAGGUGUUGUCUUGUUCUGCAUAUGUGCUCUGUCCAAAUGUUAAAUCUUUAUUAAAGUCCUAAUUUUCAGAUGU